RNAcentral lists this long non-coding RNA (1000 nucleotides) under Struthio camelus australis. RNAcentral's name for it is "lncRNA (ENSSCUG00000012867.1)". The record is from RNAcentral. Lineage: Eukaryota; Metazoa; Chordata; Aves; Struthioniformes; Struthionidae.
AUGUCCACAGCAGUGGAGGAGGUGACCCACGGGGUUCUCUGCGGCCCAGUCCUCGUGGACAUGUCCAUGGCAGUGGAGGAGGUGGCCAACAUGCUUCUCUGCAGCCCCGUCCUCAUGUCCACGGUGAUGGAGGAGGUGGACCACAUGGUUCUCUGUGUCCUGAUCCUCAUGGACAUGUCCACAGCAGUGGAGGAGGUGACCCACGCGGUUCUCUGCGGCCCCGUCCUUGUGGAUGUGUCCACAGCGAUGGGGGAGGUGGCCCAGAUGGUUCUUUGUGGCCUGUCCUCGUGGAUGUGUCCACAGUGGUGGAUGAGGUGGCCUGUGUGGAGGUCGGUUCUCUGCUGUGCAGAGCGAGCGCAGACCUCCCGGACCAGCUCCUGCGGAAACCCCUCGCCCCAAAGCGCUGAAGCGCUCCGAAGAUCCCAGCGGUCGCUGGUUCCUGGUACGUCUUUUGUUUGGCCCGUCUUCCCGGUGGCUCAGUGGGGUCGGUGGCUGUCGACUCGGCAAUGCGUUUAAUGGUGCUGACUUUAAAGCAAUUGCACCCACUCUGAUCUCUUCUCUGUACAGACUCUUAAGCAACUAGUGUAAAUGUGCCAGUCCCUUAACGAUAAUGACAGUGCACUUUUCUUCCUUAGACUCAAGUAUAUACCUGAUAGAUUCUUUUUGUAAAUCCUGGACUGUAUUAUUUAACUAGCAGUGUUGUGGUCUUCACAGUACGACAGUAGAUAUCUGGUGCUGAUCUGCUUCUGAGUGGCUGAGUUGUUUAGUUCGUUUGGGGGAUUUUUGGUGAUGCCAGGAAACCUUAGGAACCUGCUGGUUGGCUGCCCUUCGUAAUGAUUGUCGUCCUCCCUAUGGAUAUUGUCUCUGUAAUGUAUGAUAAACGCCAUUCAGUUAGCGUGUCUGAGUGGAUCCUGUCAUGUAUGCUGAUGAUGCCAUGUAGAUGAAGCCACUGGUUGGAUGUGGACUCAUCCUGUUGAAUAAAACAGCUUAACUUUUCUCA